Molecule: long non-coding RNA, 442 nt
Filed under: Medicago truncatula (barrel medic)
Lineage: Eukaryota; Viridiplantae; Streptophyta; Magnoliopsida; Fabales; Fabaceae
Description: long non-coding RNA (MTRU_LNC008478)
Source: RNAcentral
UUGGAAUAAUUUCAGAUAUUACAAAAAAUUAGUUGAUAAAUAUAACCAUCCACCAUAUUACAAAAUCAGCAAAAAUAGUUAACAUAAAAGUCAAAAGAUCACCGAUACAAAGUUAAACUAAAAUCAUAAUGAAAAAACUUCUAUUUUAAUGUAUGAUGAUAACCACCUUUUCACAUAAGAAGCACCCUUUCAAAAACUGUCCUUUUUCGAAAACCCUACAAAGAAAGGAUAUCCAUUAGAUAACAAAAUAUUAGAAAGAAAUGUACAUGAAGUUGGAAGAGAAAAAUAAAAACUACCAAAAAAAAAAGAAAUUGGUAAUAUAAAUACGAUAUACCUUAUGGCUUAUGCAUGUGUUUGAAUGAAAUAUGGUUAUCCCAUGGUUAUUUCAUGGGAUAGACAAAAAUCCACCUCCUUCAUUCUCCUCCAAAUAUUCUUCACCCUU